RNAcentral lists this ribosomal RNA (506 nucleotides) under uncultured bacterium. RNAcentral describes it as "partial 16S ribosomal RNA". It matches the Rfam family "Bacterial small subunit ribosomal RNA", at positions 29 to 523 of the family's 1533-position model. The record is from RNAcentral.
AUUGAACGCUGGCGGCAGGCCUAACACAUGCAAGUCGGACGGUAGCACAGGGGAGCUUGCUCCUCGGGUGACGAGUGGCGGACGGGUGAGUAAUGUCUGGGGAUCUGCCCGAUAGAGGGGGAUAACCACUGGAAACGGUGGCUAAUACCGCAUAAUGUCGCAAGACCAAAGAGGGGGACCUUCGGGCCUCUCACUAUCGGAUGAACCCAGAUGGGAUUAGCUAGUAGGCGGGGUAACGGCCCACCUAGGCGACGAUCCCUAGCUGGUCUGAGAGGAUGACCAGCCACACUGGAACAGAGACACGGUCCAGACUCCUACGGGAGGCAGCAGUGGGGAAUAUUGCACAAUGGGCGCAAGCCUGAUGCAGCCAUGCCGCGUGUAUGAAGAAGGCCUUCGGGUUGUAAAGUACUUUCAGCGGGGAGGAAGGCGAUGUGGUUAAUAACCGCGUCGAUUGACGUUACCCGCAGAAGAAGCACCGGCUAACUCCGUGCCAGCAGCCGCGGUAA